RNAcentral lists this ribosomal RNA (253 nucleotides) under uncultured bacterium. RNAcentral's name for it is "partial 16S ribosomal RNA". It matches the Rfam family "Bacterial small subunit ribosomal RNA", at positions 524 to 776 of the family's 1533-position model. The record is from RNAcentral.
UACGGAGGGUCCAAGCGUUAUCCGGAAUUACUGGGCGUAAAGAGCUCGUAGGUGGUUUGUCGCGUUGUUCGUGAAAACUCACAACUCAAUUGUGGGCGUGCGGGCGAUACGGGCAGACUGGAGUACUGCAGGGGAGACUGGAAUUCCUGGUGUAGCGGUGGAAUGCGCAGAUAUCAGGAGGAACACCGGUGGCGAAGGCGGGUCUCUGGGCAGUAACUGACGCUGAGGAGCGAAAGCGUGGGGAGCGAACAGG